GGCAGCGGCUUAACCCACUGAGCCACCCAGGCGCCCCAAAAGACUGCCUCUUAAUGAGAGGUCACAGGGCAGGGGACCAGGAUACUGGAGACAUUUUGCUGUCAAUCUAGAACAUAAGGCCUGUUCCCCCUCAGGCUGGUAUGGUACAAGCUCUGAGGAGCUGCCCAAUCCACGAGGGCAGUUGUGGACGUCAGUGUGCGCUGCCAACCAGCAUCAUUGCCUACAGCGCCACAAAUCAGUGGGGCUAGCACCUCCCCGCCAUGCUCCAGAAGCCGGCCUGAGAGGUGAAGGGUUAGUCUCCCCUCCUCCUGCCACAGAGCUUGCUUUGGGCACCCAUACAGACCUCUCCCACUGCAGGAACUGGCUCCACAGGGAUUGUUCAUUUCAGGCCAGUGAGACUGGAGCAGAUGUUCACACAUUGCCUUGAGGACAGAGAGCCCUCCUAAGAGAGCCACCAGGGAGAGAUGACUCUUCUUCCUCGAUGUGAGGCUGGAACUGCUACUGGCUUGGAGACCAAGCUCCUGCGUCAGGCAUGUUUUGAAGCCCACCCCACCUUUGGACUGCUAGCUACGGGAGUUAAUAUGCAUCCUUUGAAACUCUAAGAGCUCCCGAGGGAAUCUGGACAGGCCAUCGUCCGUGUAUUUCCUUGAAAUCAAGUGGAAUGGAUUUCCAUCUCACAUAACAAUUGACCAUGUCUUUCCUUCAGAAGAUGGCCUCUUAAGUGUUCAGGAGUGAAGAGUAUCUGAUGCCUGCAACUACUUCCAGAUGGUUCUUCAGGAACAGGAGCUUCAUCUGCACCAGCUUGAUGUUCUUCUGCGCCUCUGUCACCUGCUCCACCAGCUCCUUCAUGGACUUUUCCUCCUGGAGGCGCCUCUCAGCGCACUGCUGCAGCAGCUCCGCCGUCUGCUCGGACAACCGACCCGGCACGGUCAGAGCCAGAGGUGCCCCCUGGAGCAGACCUGUGUCUCCUGCUCUGUCCCUGCCCCAGGAGCUGCAUGAGGCCUGGGGAAGAGAACCAGCCCCUGACCCCCAGUCACCUUGGAACCCGAAUCUAAGCUCCUCAGCUCCUGGGAGUCCCCUGGAGGUCAGGGGAGUUUCCACCUCAUCUCCUCCCUUCCUCCACUGUGGUUCUGGGGAAACCGAGUCAGAGCCACUGGGUUUGCCCCAAAGCCCACACUCCCCUGGAUGCCAGGUGAGAGAGGUGGGUUCUCAUUGGUUGGAAGCCCUGGGGAACACAGGACUUGCCAGCCCUCCGGGCAGCCUCAGGCUCCUGUCUUAUGAGGCCCCAGGCAUGUCCUGUUGGUCAUCCCGCUCUCUUCUUUCUCACAGUGCCUCAUUAGGGCAGAGUCUUAAACAACGGGACAGAGGGCGGUUUUGCCACUUGGAUGCACAUGACUGGCACCCUCCUGUGUGUCCAGGGACUUCUCGCCUUUUUGGCUCCAUUCUGUAUUCAUUUGCCUUGCACUGUGGUCUCCUGGACUGUAGCUGGCUUAUUUUUGCAGCUGUAUGUUUUGGGGACUAUAUCACAAAGCUUUCAUCCAUUCUACUGUGGAUGGACAUUCAGAUUGCUUCUGGCUUGGUGCUAUGGUGAAUAAUUCAGAACACUGUUUUUAGUCCUCAAGACACUGCAAGGCACAGCAUGGGGUUUACACCUCCCGUCACUGGCCCAGGGCGGCCAUGGAGCGAACCACUCCCAGCUCCAGCUGCCUGUGCAAUGGGGAGCUCAUCUUUAGCUGCACAGUAAGAUGGAGUCAGCCUGCAGGCAGCUUGGACUUCAGGCUUAGAGAUGGGGCAUGAACAAUCCUUCUGUAAAACAGUUUGCUGGCAUGCAUCAAAAAUGGCUCUUGACCAACCUUUUCAAUUUAGACCAUAGAGUUAGAAGUGCUCACACGGCAGAAGGACAGAGGGCAGGCAGAGGGAUACAGGAGCCCACCUGGAAGAGCUUCCAAAAGCCAAAGCUUGCAGCAAAUACUGUCCCAUUGGGUGAUAACACAAAGUGUAAAACAACUAUGCAUGAGUCCCCACCGAAAGAAGUAAUCAAAUGAAUAAGUAAGUGAGGGAGAGGAGAGGAGUCCUCCGUGCAGAGGAAUUCUCUGUAGGCAUUGCUUUCUGAGUGUGGGCUUUGCUUACAGACCCCCUUCUGUGGAGUAUCGAAUGGUGGGGGAGAUGAUGGCAGUGGAGAGAACUGGCAGGCACGACCUUGACCAGGGGACCAAGGUCAACAUCCCAGUGAUGAGUCCGAUGAAAGCAGAUGCCCUUGAGAACAUGUGAUAAGAAGAGCACUUCGCCCCUGCAGUCUUGCUUCCAAAACCCACCGCCCCAGUCUCACCAUGAGAAGAACAUCAGACAUAUUCCCACCAAGGAGCAGUCCACAGAAUAUCGGACCAGCUCCCCUCCAAACUGUCAAGGUCAUCAAAAACAAGAUAAGUAUUAGAAACCGUCACAGCCAAGAAGAGUCUGAGACAUGACCUUUAAAUGUAAUGUGGGGCCCUGGGAUAAGAAAAGGGCAUUUGUGAGGAGGGAAAUGAGCUGAAAUCUUAAGGAAGUGUGGAGUUUAGUGAAGAGUCAUGUACCAGUGUUGGUUACUUAGCUGUGACAAAUAUCCCAUGGUGCAUUAUGCCAGUGUCCCCCCACAAUUCACAUCUACCUGGAACCUCAGAAUGUGAUCUUAUGUCCAAGUAGGUGAGGAUGCAAGGAUUCAAGGAAGGACCCUCCCCGAGGAGCUUAGCAGAGAGUGUGGCCCCACUGCCACCUUGCUUGACCUUGAACCUGGGGCCUCUGGAACUGUGAUCUGAACCCUCCGCACCGUGGGGCUUUGUUGUGGCAACCCUGGAGACCUGGUGUGGUGUUGGAAGAUGUCACCAGCAGGAUAGUUGGGUGGGAGGACACGGGAACACCCUGCACUAUCUUGGCAACUUUUCUGUAACUCU
Long non-coding RNA from Neogale vison (American mink), 2930 nucleotides. RefSeq lists it as uncharacterized. The transcript has 3 exons. NCBI's taxonomy places the organism in Eukaryota, Metazoa, Chordata, Mammalia, Carnivora, Mustelidae. The record is from RefSeq and is a predicted model, not a curated record.